GGUAGAAUGGCUGAGUUAGGCAUUAGACUGUAAAUCUAAAAACAGAGGUGAUCACCUCUUUCUAUCA
Molecule: transfer RNA, 67 nt
Filed under: Prolemur simus (greater bamboo lemur)
Lineage: Eukaryota; Metazoa; Chordata; Mammalia; Primates; Lemuridae
Description: tRNA-Tyr
Rfam family: tRNA
About the family: Transfer RNA (tRNA) molecules are approximately 80 nucleotides in length. Their secondary structure includes four short double-helical elements and three loops (D, anti-codon, and T loops). Further hydrogen bonds mediate the characteristic L-shaped molecular structure. tRNAs have two regions of fundamental functional importance: the anti-codon, which is responsible for specific mRNA codon recognition, and the 3' end, to which the tRNAs corresponding amino acid is attached (by aminoacyl-tRNA synthetases). tRNAs cope with the degeneracy of the genetic code in two manners: having more than one tRNA (with a specific anti-codon) for a particular amino acid; and 'wobble' base-pairing, i.e. permitting non-standard base-pairing at the 3rd anti-codon position.
Source: RNAcentral